AGAGUUUGAUCCUGGCUCAGGAUGAACGCUAGCUACAGGCUUAACACAUGCAAGUCGAGGGGAAACGGCAUUGAGUGCUUGCACUCUUUGGACGUCGACCGGCGCACGGGUGAGUAACGCGUAUCCAACCUUCCCAUUACUGUGGGAUAACCUGCCGAAAGGCAGACUAAUACCGCAUAGUCUUCGAUGACGGCAUCAGAUUUGAAGUAAAGAUUUAUCGGUAAUGGAUGGGGAUGCGUCUGAUUAGCUUGUUGGCGGGGUAACGGCCCACCAAGGCGACGAUCAGUAGGGGUUCUGAGAGGAAGGUCCCCCACAUUGGAACUGAGACACGGUCCAAACUCCUACGGGAGGCAGCAGUGAGGAAUAUUGGUCAAUGGGCGAGAGCCUGAACCAGCCAAGUAGCGUGCAGGAUGACGGCCCUAUGGGUUGUAAACUGCUUUUGUAUGGGGAUAAAGUUAGGGACGUGUCCCUAUUUGCAGGUACCAUACGAAUAAGGACCGGCUAAUUCCGUGCCAGCAGCCGCGGUAAUACGGAAGGUCCAGGCGUUAUCCGGAUUUAUUGGGUUUAAAGGGAGCGUAGGCUGGAGAUUAAGUGUGUUGUGAAAUGUAGACGCUCAACGUCUGAAUUGCAGCGCAUACUGGUUUCCUUGAGUACGCACAACGUUGGCGGAAUUCGUCGUGUAGCGGUGAAAUGCUUAGAUAUGACGAAGAACUCCGAUUGCGAAGGCAGCUGACGGGAGCGCAACUGACGCUUAAGCUCGAAGGUGCGGGUAUCAAACAGGAUUAGAUACCCUGGUAGUCCGCACAGUAAACGAUGGAUGCCCGCUGUUGGUACCUGGUAUCAGCGGCUAAGCGAAAGCAUUAAGCAUCCCACCUGGGGAGUACGCCGGCAACGGUGAAACUCAAAGGAAUUGACGGGGGCCCGCACAAGCGGAGGAACAUGUGGUUUAAUUCGAUGAUACGCGAGGAACCUUACCCG
Molecule: ribosomal RNA, 978 nt
Filed under: metagenome
Description: bacterial SSU rRNA
Rfam family: Bacterial small subunit ribosomal RNA
Source: RNAcentral